RNAcentral lists this ribosomal RNA (208 nucleotides) under uncultured bacterium. Its description in RNAcentral is "partial 16S ribosomal RNA". It matches the Rfam family "Bacterial small subunit ribosomal RNA", at positions 568 to 774 of the family's 1533-position model. The record is from RNAcentral.
CUCGUAGGCGGCCAACUAAGUCAGACGUGAAAUCCCUCGGCUUAACCGGGGAACUGCGUCUGAUACUGGAUGGCUUGAGGUUGGGAGAGGGAUGCGGAAUUCCAGGUGUAGCGGUGAAAUGCGUAGAUAUCUGGAGGAACACCGGUGGCGAAGGCGAGUCCCUGGACAACACCUGACACUGAGGCACGAAAGCUAGGGGAAGCAAACA